Molecule: ribosomal RNA, 473 nt
Filed under: uncultured delta proteobacterium
Lineage: Bacteria; Deltaproteobacteria
Description: bacterial SSU rRNA
Rfam family: Bacterial small subunit ribosomal RNA
Source: RNAcentral
CGUGAGUGAUGAAGGCUUUCGGGUCGUAAAGCUCUGUCAAGUGGGAAGAAUUCAUAUGGUGUUAAUGUCGCCAUGUGCUGACGGUACCACUGAAGGAAGCACCGGCUAACUCCGUGCCAGCAGCCGCGGUAAUACGGGGGGUGCGAGCGUUAUUCGGAAUUACUGGGCGUAAAGAGCGCGUAGGCGGUCUUUUAAGUCAGGUGUGAAAGCCCGGGGCUCAACCCCGGAAGUGCACUUGAAACUAAGAGACUUGAGUAUGGGAGAGGGAAGUGGAAUUCCUGGUGUAGCGGUGAAAUGCGUAGAUAUCAGGAGGAACAUCAGUGGCGAAGGCGACUUCCUGGACCAAUACUGACGCUGAGGCGCGAAGGCGUGGGGAGCAAACAGGAUUAGAUACCCUGGUAGUCCACGCAGUAAACGGUGAACACUAGGUGUAGCGGGUAUUGACCCCUGCUGUGCCGCAGCAAACGCAUUAA